This 806-nucleotide ribosomal RNA is filed under the name Escherichia coli. RNAcentral's name for it is "partial 23S ribosomal RNA". It matches the Rfam family "Bacterial large subunit ribosomal RNA", at positions 430 to 1238 of the family's 2925-position model. The record is from RNAcentral. Lineage: Bacteria; Pseudomonadati; Pseudomonadota; Gammaproteobacteria; Enterobacterales; Enterobacteriaceae.
UAUCCUGUCUGAAUAUGGGGGGACCAUCCUCCAAGGCUAAAUACUCCUGACUGACCGAUAGUGAACCAGUACCGUGAGGGAAAGGCGAAAAGAACCCCGGCGAGGGGAGUGAAAAAGAACCUGAAACCGUGUACGUACAAGCAGUGGGAGCCUCUUUAUGGGGUGACUGCGUACCUUUUGUAUAAUGGGUCAGCGACUUAUAUUCUGUAGCAAGGUUAACCGAAUAGGGGAGCCGAAGGGAAACCGAGUCUUAACUGGGCGUUAAGUUGCAGGGUAUAGACCCGAAACCCGGUGAUCUAGCCAUGGGCAGGUUGAAGGUUGGGUAACACUAACUGGAGGACCGAACCGACUAAUGUUGAAAAAUUAGCGGAUGACUUGUGGCUGGGGGUGAAAGGCCAAUCAAACCGGGAGAUAGCUGGUUCUCCCCGAAAGCUAUUUAGGUAGCGCCUCGUGAAUUCAUCUCCGGGGGUAGAGCACUGUUUCGGCAAGGGGGUCAUCCCGACUUACCAACCCGAUGCAAACUGCGAAUACCGGAGAAUGUUAUCACGGGAGACACACGGCGGGUGCUAACGUCCGUCGUGAAGAGGGAAACAACCCAGACCGCCAGCUAAGGUCCCAAAGUCAUGGUUAAGUGGGAAACGAUGUGGGAAGGCCCAGACAGCCAGGAUGUUGGCUUAGAAGCAGCCAUCAUUUAAAGAAAGCGUAAUAGCUCACUGGUCGAGUCGGCCUGCGCGGAAGAUGUAACGGGGCUAAACCAUGCACCGAAGCUGCGGCAGCGACACUAUGUGUUGUUGGGUAGGGGAGCG